Molecule: ribosomal RNA, 443 nt
Filed under: uncultured bacterium
Lineage: Bacteria
Description: partial 16S ribosomal RNA
Rfam family: Bacterial small subunit ribosomal RNA
Source: RNAcentral
CCUACGGGUGGCAGCAGUGGGGAAUAUUGCACAAUGGGCGCAAGCCUGAUGCAGCAACGCCGCGUGAAGGAAGAAGGGUUUCGGCUUGUAAACUUCUUUCAUCAGGGACGAAAGAAAUGACGGUACCUGAAUAAGAAGCCGCGGCUAACUACGUGCCAGCAGCCGCGGUAAUACGUAGGGGGCAAGCGUUAUCCGGAAUUACUUGGUGUAAAGGGUGAGUAGGCGGCAAGGUAAGCCAGAUGUGAACGCCUUGGGCUUAACCCGAGGAUUGCAUUUGGAACUGUUAAGCUUGAGUCCAGGAGAGGAAAGCGGAAUUCCUAGUGUAGCGGUGAAAUGCGUAGAUAUUAGGAAGAACACCAGUGGCGAAGGCGGCUUUCUGGACUGAAACUGACGCUGAGGCGCGAAAGCGUGGGGAGCGAACAGGAUUAGAUACCCCAGUAGUC